AUUGAACGCUGGCGGCAGGCCUAACACAUGCAAGUCGAGCGAGCGGCGGACGGGUGAGUAAUGUAUGGGGACUGCCCGAUAGAGGGGGAUAACUACUGGAAACGGUGGCUAAUACCGCAUACUAUCGGAUAACCCAUAUGGGAUUAGCUAGUAGGUGGGGUAAAGGCUCACCUAGGCGACGAUCUCUAGCUGGUCUGAGAGGAUGUUCAGCCACACUGGGUCUGAUACCCGGCCCAGACUCCUACGGAGGCCGCAGUGGGGAAUCUUGCACCAUGGGCUCUAGCCUGAUGCAGCCAUGCCGCGUGUAUGCAGUGGGCCUUUGGGUUGUAUAGUACUUUCAGCGGGGAGGCGUUACCCGCAGAAGAAGCACCGGCUAACUCCGUGCCAGCAGCCGCGGUAAUUC
This 403-nucleotide ribosomal RNA is filed under the name uncultured bacterium. RNAcentral's name for it is "partial 16S ribosomal RNA". It matches the Rfam family "Bacterial small subunit ribosomal RNA", at positions 30 to 526 of the family's 1533-position model. The record is from RNAcentral.